Etheostoma spectabile (orangethroat darter) is the source of this 3715-nucleotide long non-coding RNA. RefSeq lists it as uncharacterized. The record is from RefSeq and is a predicted model, not a curated record. Lineage: Eukaryota; Metazoa; Chordata; Actinopteri; Perciformes; Percidae. The transcript is spliced from 3 exons.
CCUGUCAAUGUGAUUUUCAGUUCUUUGGAUUAAAAGGAAAGACUGAGUGAAAUGCAUGGUGCACUGAAAUCUGGAACUUUUCUUUUUUUUAUAACAAUUUGACACGCAUUAAGGAAUUCUAACACUGAUGAGGAAGCUCUCACCUGUUCCUCUCUUCAUCAUCACUGCUGCCGACCUCGUCACUGGAUGAGGAGUAUUCUGUGGCCUUGUUAAGCCGACUCAGAGCAGCUCUAACACCCUGCGUGACAGAGCCACAACAAGAGCUUCCUCGCUGCUACGCAAAGAUGACACAGAGAGCAGAGCUUUGAAAGAGAGGAGUUGCUUCUUUCUCUCGAGACACGCAGCAGGUAACGGUGUGUGGCUAACUGCACAGACCUGGGUGGUUGCUGCAGCUGGAGGACACGGACCGUCCACUCUUGUCUGCGACCGACCCGGGACUGCCACUAGAUGGAGAAAGAGACACACAUACAGAGUGACAAAGAUGGAGAGUGUAUCAUACAUUAUACACUUCUAUACGUUUUCAUCUUGAGUGUAUCCUUCACACUGCCACUGCAACGACCCGACAGUCUCGGCAUUAGAUUUAUCGAAUGGAAAAUAAUCAUGCAAGCUUAACUAAUCUGAUCUACCCAUGACCGAUUGUUCUUCAAUGGUGUAUGCCAGUAAGCUGAAUUGUAGUGUGAUAUACUGUAAAUCCUCACAAUAAAUAAGGCUCCCUCUAGAAGAAAGGAUAACUUAGGGGUGGGACAAAAUAUCAAAACGGCAAUAUAUCAUUGUCCUUCUCCGUGUGAUACGAGAAUCGAUACGUUGGCGCCAAAUAUGGAUAUUUAAAAUAAGGAACUUUAAUAGAUUUCACUGCUCUCAGAUUUCACUGCUCCUUCAGGUGGCACUCGACACAUGAAUGAGGGAAACUUGAACAGACGUUAACUAGCUGUAGCCGGGUUGGUUCAGCGGGUAGAGCAGGCGCACAUAUACAGGGAGGUUUAUGCCUCGACGCAGAGGCUCAGGGUUUGACUCCAACCUGUGACGAUUUCCUGCAUGUCUUCCUCCCCUUUCUCACCUACCUGUCCUAUCAAAGGCGGAAAAGCCCAAAAAGAAAUCAUCUUUAAAAAAAAAAAAGAGGAAAAUAACAGAUGCCCCCACCCACGUUUAAGUCCAAAGUCUGGACCCCUGGUAGCUCUAUAGUCGUGUCAAUUUAAUUUACAGAUUGAAAACUUGUUGGACUUAUUUGUGAAUGAAGAGAGAAAACACUUUUCACAGGCAUUUAGUAUUCGUGGUUGGACGGACAUCGUGAUGUAGCACCAUGGGACUGUCUAGCAGAAUUGCUGAAUAGUGAUAUUUUCAGUAUUUUGAGCCAUGUGUGUUGUAUAAUAUCGUGAGGUACCUUGUGAUUCCCAUCCUUAGCUACAAAACCAAACAUUAGAAAUAAAGAAUGUGUAUUUACAUUCUCGUUGAGAAUAAGACUUUUCUCAUUCCCAAUUUAAGGACAAACAGUUGCAUUGUAUAUCAUUCAUGCAGCGAUGUUUGUAUUCCCAAAGUCAAGAGACUCCUCAUUGUUAUGAGUCUACGUUGUAGAUAAGUAAAUCAAAUGCUUCAAUAUGAGUCAGUGAACGUAUUGCCUUAUUAACAGAUCUGCUGGUAGGUGAUUUUGAUGAUUCAAUGUGUACAACAUGGCUUCUUUUCUAAAUUUACAUUGUUAUGUCAAGGUUUAACAAUGUUAAAAGUCUCAAACUGACUCAUUCAUUUACCAUAUUUGUCACUAUGUAAACUAGUCUGAUUCUGCCCAUUUACACAGUUUGUUAAAAACAGGAAAAACACACGUGUGUGUGUGUGAGGUGCCUGGCCAUAAGAAUGGGAUGAACAAUAACUAUCUAGCUAGAAACAACACUACCGUGGUUAAAGGAGUACUGUUUUUGUCCUAUUUGGUUUCUGGGAUACAACCUCUAAACAGAAUAUUUGACAUGUUGACAUGGUAUAAAGUCGUCAAGGCCAACGUGUUAGCAAACAGUUGCCUAUUUACAUAUCCAGCAGACAUGGAGGUUUGAGGGUCAUUUGGAAUCGUGUUUCUGGCCACCUGACAAACAGAGGUAAAUAUUCACUUUCUUUCAAUAUCUGAUUUGCUCUCCACCUACUCCUGAGGGAAAUAUCGGGCUCUAAAUGAUCCUCUUUGCUCACUAGCUAGUCCUUUGUGUGUUUGUCAUUUGGUGCUGAACAGGUACCUUAUAGUAGGUUUUUAGAGCUUUUUUCUUUUGCUAAAACAGCUGACUGCUGCAGUCAAAAACACUGAACCAUUACUGUGACCUGAAAGAUGUAAAAAAUAGUCUGUAGAAAUACGUGUGACUACAGAGUCAGGGGAUGAUUCAGUUUCAACCACUGUCAAUCUAAAAUACUGAUUUUAUACAUAUUUGUUUGACAAAAAGUGACAUUACUGUAUGUUAUUGGCUUAUGCACAAACAAAUGGGCCAACCUUCAAGACCGGCACAUAUCUCUGGGUUAUGUGUUUAGUGUGGGUCAAAUAUGGGUAAAUAUAAACAAGAGGGGAAAAAAGCGCAAAAUAUAGAAGAGAGAAGACAAAAUAUAGAAUAAGAAACAUGAAAAAUAAGACAAAAGUACGCACACACAAAAAAAAAAUCAAUGGGUGAUUAUUAAACACAGUGUAGUUGUGUUCUACCUCGAAGCGGCCCGCUUGUGUCCCAUCACCAGCUCUCUACAGUAGAACUUUGAGGUUGUGCGUUCUGGGACCUGGAGCAGAAGAGGAAUCAAUUGGACUGACUUGACAGAAACACAUAGUUAGUGAAACUUGACAGAAAGCACAUAUUGAGUGAAUACACAAAGACGGUCCUGAUUACUGGUUUCACUUUUUAUGUGUUUGAGCGGGGGCUCUUUACGAGGAUCUCACGUCUAGCCAAGCAGGGUUUCAGCUAAUUAUAGGUAGGUGUUUGCAGUUGUGAAACCUUUAUGUACAACAAUCUCUAAACUGCCUGAAAGGGUGUAGAUCAGAGUACAGUAAAAUCUUUAAUAACCCACCGGGAGAUAUUUAUUCCUGAGAAUCUAAUGAGACCAUUUUGGCUUAGCUAUUUCUUAACAUUGGCAUGUGGCUCCUUUAAACUCUCCAAAGCUGUGUCCAAAUCUCACAUGUGGUGUGGACAUGUGAUCUGACUCAGGGAUAUUUCCUAACCUUUUUUCAACAGCGUUGCAUUCACUGUUAGUCAGCAUUGUGAAAUCAAUACCAGAUCAAUCUGUGUAAGUGUUGCAAAGCCCUGGGCUUUAAACGGGAUCUUUCGACACUUCACUCUCAGUUGUACCGGCCAGCUGGUGACUUUUUCACCUCUCAUCUCCUGGGUCACAUGGCCUACUUACAGAGAGGAAGACACACCCAGCAGAGCAGGAAGUCGACUGUGGGAAUACCUGUCAUCUUUCGGACAAGUUGCCCACAUCCUGCAUCUGGCUCCCCUGAACAUGCGCACACACACAGCGAACUCUGUGUCUGCUGUUUCCUUUCUAUUAUUGCGACACACCCAUGAUAUCAAAAUCGUGGUCUACGAAGUAGGGGUAGGGGGUGAGAUAUGUCUCAUUACGUUUGGGAGAAAAAAUUGACAAUCUGUGAAUAAAUGUGUUAUUUGUGAAUAUAAAACACAUUCCACUAAUAACAAAAGUAAGUAAACUCCCAAAAAUAAUUUGCAAAUAUAAAACGGAUCUGCAAAAAAAAAAAAAAAAA